GUACCUCCCAGCUCCCCACCUAUGGGAGAUCUUCUCCCCCAUAAUUGCAGAUAAUAUAACACAAGCGCUCAUGUUCCUCUCGCACUUCAUCAGAGACAUACACUAGCCACUUCACUCCGACAAAGGAGGGAACACCGUCGACUUCCACUGGUACGCAAGGAAGACUGUUUUACACUAU
Zea mays is the source of this 178-nucleotide long non-coding RNA. RefSeq lists it as uncharacterized. Lineage: Eukaryota; Viridiplantae; Streptophyta; Magnoliopsida; Poales; Poaceae. The record is from RefSeq and is a predicted model, not a curated record. The transcript is spliced from 3 exons.